Molecule: ribosomal RNA, 324 nt
Filed under: Triticum aestivum (bread wheat)
Lineage: Eukaryota; Viridiplantae; Streptophyta; Magnoliopsida; Poales; Poaceae
Description: partial small subunit ribosomal RNA
Source: RNAcentral
AUGUAUUUAUUUAUUGGAAAAUCUUGGUUUUACCCGGACAUAUGUAUGCACUGUACUACCCUGUGUCAAGCGACAACCUCUCUCCGGUGGUUUAUGUGUGUCUACAGUGAUGUGAAGGCUAUCCUGCGUACGGAGCCAAUGGCUGUCACGGCACGGUCAGAAUCAAGCCGUACGCUGCAUCGGGAACUACAACAGAGAGAGAGAGAGAGAGAGAGAGAGAGAGAGAGAGAGGGGAGAUGGGGGAGACUGGUGAGCUCCAUGGGUGGUCAGAAGGGGCGGGUAAAAGCAGAGACCUUGGCUGCCGUGGUUCUCUCCUACGAAUAA